AUUGAGAGACGUUUGGGAAUCAUGCUCACACAAGAAGGCUGUGGCUUUUGGCAUCUUUGCCCUUGAAUGGAACCUGUCAUCGGUCGUAGCUCGCAUAUGGGCAGUGUUCAUGUUAUUUGUGGCGUUCAGAUGUUAUCAACAAUCACUUGUGAGAGAUGAUUGGGUAGAGGAUGAAGCGAAAUGUGAGACCACGUGUCAAGUGCAGAUUGGAGGACAAAGACAAAGGCGUAGGCCUACCUUAGUGGAAUUAAAAGAAAGAAAA
Non-coding RNA from Camellia sinensis, 262 nucleotides. NCBI's taxonomy places the organism in Eukaryota, Viridiplantae, Streptophyta, Magnoliopsida, Ericales, Theaceae. The record is from RefSeq and is a predicted model, not a curated record.